UACAGAGGUCCCGAGCGUUGUUCGGAUUCACUGGGCGUAAAGGGUGCGUAGGUGGUGAGGAAAGUCGGAUGUGAAAUCUCCAAGCUUAACUUGGAAAUGGCAUUGGAAACUACCUUGCUGGAGGUUUGGAGGGGGGACUGGAAUUCUUGGUGUAGCAGUGAAAUGCGUAGAUAUCAAGAGGAACACCAGUGGCGAAGGCGAGUCCCUGGACAACACCUGACAUUGAGGCACGAAAGCUAGGGGAGCAAACAGG
RNAcentral lists this ribosomal RNA (253 nucleotides) under uncultured bacterium. RNAcentral describes it as "partial 16S ribosomal RNA". It matches the Rfam family "Bacterial small subunit ribosomal RNA", at positions 524 to 776 of the family's 1533-position model. The record is from RNAcentral.